UCCCGGGUGACCUAGUGGUUAAGGAUCCAGCGUUGUCACUGCUGUGGUGCAGGUUCGAUCCCUGGCCAGGGAA
Molecule: transfer RNA, 73 nt
Filed under: Sus scrofa (pig)
Lineage: Eukaryota; Metazoa; Chordata; Mammalia; Artiodactyla; Suidae
Rfam family: tRNA
About the family: Transfer RNA (tRNA) molecules are approximately 80 nucleotides in length. Their secondary structure includes four short double-helical elements and three loops (D, anti-codon, and T loops).
Source: Rfam by way of RNAcentral